AGGCGGCGGCGGCAGCAGCUGCAGCUCGUUGGCCCCCUCGGCCGCUCAUUGGCCGGCAGCGGCGUCCAGCUGGCGGUGAGCCCGGGGCGCGUCCAAUAAGCCGCGCUGCCUCCCCUCCCCGCCCCACCUGCCCCGCACUCGCGCACCUCGGAGCCCCGCAGCCCGGCCACCCCCGCUCCGCCACCUGCCUCACCUCGCCUCGCCUCGCCUCGCCUCGCCCCGCGGCGGCGGCACCACCGGCAGCAGCAGCAGCAGCAGCAGCAGCGCCGUCCAGGAGAAUCCACGCGGCCCCUCCGCUCUCCUCAGGAAGCCCGCCAGCCCGGAGGGGAAGCCGCCGCCGCCGUCGCCGCCGCCGUCGGUCAGGCGAAGCAGCCACCUCGGAGCGGCGCCCGCGAGCCUCACCCUCCCCCCCCCUCCAGCCCGCGCCCACCAUGAGCAACCUGGCCAAGGAGAGCGAGCACAGCAGCAGCAGCCUCGAGGAGGAGGUACGGACCCUUUUUGUGAGCGGCCUUCCAGUGGACAUCAAACCGCGAGAGCUGUACCUCCUUUUCCGGCCAUUUAAGGGUUAUGAAGGAUCACUGAUCAAACUAACAUCCAAACAGCCAGUAGGCUUUGUUACUUUCGACAGCCGUUCUGGUGCAGAAGCUGCAAAGAAUGCUUUGAAUGGGAUCCGCUUCGACCCAGAGAAUCCCCAGACGCUGCGGUUAGAGUUUGCUAAGGCCAACACCAAGAUGGCAAAAAGCAAGCUGAUGGGCACACCAAACCCCACCAACCUCCACCCAGCCCUAGGCGCACACUUCAUUGCACGAGAUCCUUAUGAUCUGUCUGGAGCUGCCCUGAUCCCAGCAUCUCCAGAAGCAUGGGCUCCUUACCCCCUGUACACCACGGAGCUAACCCCGGCCAUUCCACAUGCAGCUUUCACCUAUCCAGCUGCUGCAGCUGCCGCCGCUGCUCUUCACGCUCAGUGACCUGCAGCCAAGAUGCCUACGCAGGCUAGCCCUGAAGCUCAGAGCUGGCCCUGGAAAGGUGGGACCUCAUAGUCCUGACUAAUCCCUGCUAGAGUUGGAGUAGCUGUAGAACAGCUUCAUUCCCAGAGGCCUUUCAGGAUGGGCCCGUCUGGAACAGGCUGAUGCGCUGGUACCCUCCUUCUGACGCUAGCCAACAAGGAUGGAAGUCCCGUCAGUUCUGUUAGUUUUAAGCUGCUUUUGGCCCACGUUUCCCCCUCUUGUCUCUCCAUGGACUGAUGCAUGAAGGAUGAAGGAGUCUUUGAGAGUUUCCUCCCUCGGCCUUUUCCCUGGACACCAUCAAAGUGCCCAACUUCACUUGGCCAUCUUAUGAAUGAAGCUGUGGAUUUCCCCCCUCCAAAACUGUGAACGUCAUCUCCUCCGUCUCUUCCCUGGUGUCAUGGCUGCCCUUCUCCCAACUCUUCCCCCCCCCUCCAUCUGCUAAGCCCCACCACCCUCCUGUUGCUGAGUUUCUCCUCCUGCUACCUUGAGUCCUUUCAGGAGAAACUCAACCUUGUUGAUACACCCGCUUGGUGCGGGCGGGCGUGUACGUGUGUGUUCCCAGCUGGGAUGCUGGCACGCAGUGUGGCCUAGCUGUGUACGGUGCAAUAUCCAGACUUUUCUUAUCCCGAAUCUUGUGUAUGCAGUUUUGCUAAAGGAAGCAAAAAGACAAAUCAGUUUUGCAUGUUCUCUGGCAUGAGUUUAAAACACUUUAACUUGGUGUGGGUGUGUGAGUGUGCAAAGCUCGUUUUUGGGUCUAGCAUUUGUGUAACUAUAGCAGUAGAUCUUGGAUUAACUAUUGAUCACUAAACUUUUUUUCAUUUUGCUUCUGUCAAGACUUGGCUUUUGAAAAACACUUCGUCUUCUCUCUCUUCGUGUUCUACUCUUCCUCUUUCCCCAGGAUAUCUUUCCAUGUUCAGCCUUGACUAGAAUUUGAAAUAAAAAAGUUUCUUCUCCAAAGUACAAUGCACUGGGUUUCUGCCCUUCCCGAUUGUCAGGGUUGUUGGGGAUUUUUGUUGUUGUUGUUGUUAUUAUUUUUUCUGUCAAACUUCUAUAUAUAGAACAGCUGUAAACUAUUUCACCUUUUUCUUCCACAUCCCUCGGAUUGGGAAGAAUCCAGUCUUGCCAAAUCAGCAAUCCUUAUGGGAAUAUCGAACAAAGAUGUACGAGUAUUUUUGUACCAUGUGUAAUAAGGAAAUAUUUAUGCAUCAUGCAAAGAUUUUGUGUGGUUUUUGUGCAAUUAAUUAUUAAAGAGUAAAAAAAAACAAAAAACUGUAAUCUGUAAGAUAAGUUUAAUGUUUAGUUAAAAAGCUUGAAGAGAAAGACUUUUUUUCUGUAACUGAUUCAGUCGGGCAUAGUAACGAGAAAUUGCACAAUUAUUUUUUUUUUGUUGAUAUUUUAUUGCUUGGUAUUUGGAAGUCCUUUAAGUAUUACAUUGAACCAUGGCUGUCUCGCUUGUAUUAAGAUUGUUGAAUAAGUUGCUAUAUCCUUUGAGAAUGUGAAACUGGAUAAUAUAUGAAUUGUAUUCCGUG
Crotalus tigris (Tiger rattlesnake) is the source of this 2536-nucleotide RNA transcript. It is a transcript of the gene named RNA binding protein, mRNA processing factor 2, with no coding region annotated. The record is from RefSeq and is a predicted model, not a curated record. Lineage: Eukaryota; Metazoa; Chordata; Lepidosauria; Squamata; Viperidae. The transcript is spliced from 9 exons.